Molecule: ribosomal RNA, 208 nt
Filed under: uncultured bacterium
Lineage: Bacteria
Description: partial 16S ribosomal RNA
Rfam family: Bacterial small subunit ribosomal RNA
Source: RNAcentral
CGCGUAGGCGGUUUGCUAAGUUGGAUGUGAAAACUCUGGGCUUAACCCAGAGCCUGCAUCCAAAACUGGCAAACUUGAGUACUGGAGGGGAAAGCGGAAUUCCUGGUGUAGCGGUGAAAUGCGUAGAUAUCAGGAGGAACACCGGUGGCGAAGGCGGCUUUCUGGACAGUAACUGACGCUGAGGCGCGAAAGCUAGGGGAGCAAACAG